Molecule: long non-coding RNA, 4616 nt
Filed under: Lynx pardinus (Iberian lynx)
Lineage: Eukaryota; Metazoa; Chordata; Mammalia; Carnivora; Felidae
Source: RNAcentral
GCCAAUGCAACUUUUGAGACGAACAAAAAAUGAAAUAUGCAACUGCAUAAAUACUGAGAAAACUUUGAUAUAUGGAAUGCUUUUGCAAACACAAUCCAAAAACAAGAUUGGGGUUAAGCACUUGUUUUGUUCCAUAUUUUAGUUCAGGAGUUUCUUGGCAGAAGCAGGCAGUCACAUCAUGUUGCUAUGAAAAUUAUGUCAUCUCAAAAGCUUUUUGAAAGCUUUUCAAGUCAAAGAAGGAGAGGAAACAAAAGAACUGUUCAAGUUCGCAAUUCAUUCAUCAUUAUGUAUAUUAAAAAAUCGCUGCACAACAGAUUUGUAAACAGGGUAGGCUCUAACAGAAGUUAUAAUUAAUGUUAAUUAUACUAGGGCCGUCUGUAUAUCAGGUCAUUGUGAGACACAAAUACCCAGAAAAAUAAUUUCUUCCCGUCACUCUACCAAAUCAUUCUGGAAUUGUUUAGAGACCCGUCUUCAUGAAAACUAGGCUGUGUCAUUAAGACAGAUCCAAAUCCCAUGCAAACGAGUUCUGCUUUGGUCUUUUCUCUAUAUCAUCCAGUUUACAGCCUUUUAUAAUUUCAACAUUUUUAGGGGAAGGGGAUGUAACAGGACUUUCAAGUUAUCAUAUUAUGCUAUAUUCAGGACAAAAUUUUUAAGUUAUCAGUUAGUGACUGAAUUCAAAUGUUAGGUAAAAAUAGAAGGCAAUAUUCACUUACCUUCAUCGAUAUUUAAUGAUUUUAACAUGGUUAUUCGAAUUUUUUCCCCUAAAUUGUACUCAGAUUUCCAUUAUGGCAAUAAUUAAAAUAAUCUCCAGUUUAGUUUCUUUACAGGAAGUUUUGCAGGUACUUUUCAUGAGGGAGUACCAUUCCACAGCCAGGAAAUGUAGCUAACGAUCCAUGCUUCAGAUCAAACAGCAAGAAAACCAUUCAGAAUUCAUUUAGUACAGAGAGCAAGCGAUGUCACAGCAUGAAACAAGUAAGUCCCGUAUUUCAUUUUUGUAACCACUGAUUUAAAGUGACAUUUUUCUCUUUUGGGUGUUAAUCUAAGAAAAGACAUGAAGGUCUUAAUUAAAAAAAAAAAUCAACCAAUCUGCUACUAUACAAUGGUUGUUUGCGGUGAAUGUAGAAAAAACAAAAUGAAUCUGAAUUUCUGAAGAUUUUAGAAAUGAGAGUUUAGCCUGCCUUUAAAUGAAUAAUAUGAACCUGUAGUAAACAGGUGAAAAUACCCAUCCCCUACUCUGCUACAGAGAGGAUUAAUGUAACUUCACUUUCAUUUCAAAUGCAACAUCAGGGAUAUUAAUCUGGACUUGUAAUCUUCAUGCUAUAGUUUUGGAAGUCUUUCUUUGUAUAUCAAAUGACAGUGGGAAAGAACUGGUAAAUUUAAGGGGCGCCUGAAGGGCUCAGUCGGUUGAGCGUCUGACCGGCUCCGGUCCUGAUCUUGCAGCUUAGGAGCUGAAGCCCCUCAUCAGGCUCUCUGCUGUCAGAGUGGAGCCUGUUUCAGAUGUCUGCCCCUCUCCCACUCACUGUCUCUGUGCUCUCAAAACAAAUACACUUAAAGAAAAAACAAUUGGUAAAUUUAAGUAUGAUUCACACUUACAUCAUUUUUUCGGUAAAAGAAGAAUUACCAAGUACUUAUAAUUGAUCAUUUUGAGUGCUAUGUCUCAUUGGGAAAACUGCAACACCAAAACAUACAUAGUUUGUAGAAAAGGCAUAGCGAGCCAGUGCCAGAGUCAGUUACAGAACCACCUAAAUCUAAACCAUAUACCCAUCUGCAGAAUCAUAUAAUUCAGCUAUUUAUAAUAUUGUAAAUUCUAAUAAUCUUUUGUUGUUUCAAGUAAAAGGAAAAUCUAUCACUGCUAACAAAUCUCAAGGCUUAGCAAGUUCAUGAAAAUCUCUUCAACUUGUGUGGUAUGGUCUGAUCCACAUUUACAAAUAUUCUAUAGGAACUAGCUAAGUCCUUCUGACUCAUUCUCCUUCUGUCAAUCACAAAGUUGACAAAGCACAGACAUUCACUUUGUAAUAAACACAAAUGAUGAGGUCAUCCAAACUACCUGCCUAAAUGACUUCUAAAUUGCAACAGUGGGAUGAGCUCCCUGAAUUCAUUGGCUAUUUUGGUAACAUACAGAUACAGUCUCAGACAUCAUUGCGUAACUAUUUUAGGUUUUGUGGUAUUGUGCCUACUAGACACGGAACACAUGUUCUGUGUUUCUACCGUACAAGGUGAAAGAUAUCUAUGUUCAAACUAUUCAUUUCCAAAUCUUUGGCAAAUAUCCAGCUCAAGCUCCAUUUUCUUCUAUAAUGUUUCCAUAUUUCCAUAUAAUGUUUCUCAUAUGUUUUUUUCUCCCUUUAAUCAUUGCUUAUACAACAGUAAAAUUAAUAUAAAACUCCAUAUCUUUAAAAUUAUAGUAAAUUCUUAAUCUCCUACUAUUGUUCUUAAAUAGUUCACAAUUCACCUAUUGUUCACACUGUAAAACAAUAAAAUGGUUGAAUUUAGGGCUAGUUAAAUUGUUUUCUUUGGUAUGCAACAUUGCCUCACCUUAAGUCAGAACAUGUGAUUUUAUUCUGGUUGGUAGGUUAUGCCCUUAUGUUUUCAAUUUCUAGCUUUUUAAAGAGUUGAACAGAGAAUACUUUUUUAAAACAAACAUAACUCAAAACUCAAUUCAAGCCUCACUGACUUAAUUGACAGAAACAAAUAAAGCAUUAACCAUCAUGGUUACUAUUUGUAAAGUAGACAAGAGUCAAAUGCAAACACGUGUUUAAAAAUAUUCACCCUGGAAUCUAAAGCUGGCCCCUUGAAGUACGCGGUAUUUUUGGGGUUUGAGAGUUUCAAUGUUCAGUUUAGUGUUAUAUUGGCAUACAAUCACAGAGCUCUCUCUCUUUUAAAAGAAAAAUGGAAAGUUUAUCACAGAAGUUCUGACUUGAAGAUAAAAUAUAUAUUGGCAAAAUCUAGCACAGUGAAUCCCUUGGUUACAUUAAAUUCUUAAUAUUGGUGAUUUUAUUUUGGCUUUAUGCCUUUUUUCUAUAUGUAUUUUAAAUAUGCAAAUUAUUUUUUAACAAAGUCCCUAUUACUAUUCAGUUACCUACGAUGGUAAAAACAGAAAAAUACCAUUUUUUUUAAGAAGGAAAAAAAACUGGGCAUCUGUUUGACAGAAAUGAGUACUUCAAGUACGUAAGUAAAUCGUUAACAGAGCUAUUAUACCCUAAGCCACAGCAGUAACAAAGAAAAGAGCUAGACUAUGCAUUUUGUAUAAAGAUUAAAUUUCACAACAUAAUAAAUAAAUGCACUGAUUUAUACAACUUGAGAAAACCUUCUACUGAUGAUCACAAGUAAUACUGUCUUAUUAUUCAGUUUGUUGAUAUGAGCACUGCCUCACACAGAGAUUCAAAGGUAGAAUUCUCACCUCCAAAGCCACAAAAUAUACAAAGCUGGUUUGUUAUUAAAUAUUUUGUCUGCCAAAAUUCCUGCAAACUAAAAUACAUCUUGGCAGUUUGAAUAACCAGCAGGAUAAUUAUUUUGGUAUCAAAAGAUAAGAAAAAUUUUAAUAUGAAAAUUAAUAAAACCAGUAAAAGGAGAAACCUGUUGUAUAAAUAGACAUUUUAACACAAAAGUGAGACUUUUAUCUCACUUAAGAGGAAGAAACAAAUUUGAUACAACUUACGUGAAGAUUUGAAAAUAAUUAUCAUAUCUUCCCAGCUCUAGAUAAAUAUAUUACUCCAAUUUAUUAAUCAUCUUCAAUAUACAAUAUAUAACUCACAAAACUGGGAAUGUUACAAUACCAAAACCUUUCACAGCACUAGUUACCAGUUACCAGAACUGUAAGAAAUCUUUAGCUACAUAUCAGCUUAAUACUUAGAAUAUACAAAGAGAUAUGGCUAACCUGUGGUAAACAAUAGUGCAAACAGUAAGGACCACAAAAUAUAUUCUUUUUCUUUUUAGCUUGUUUAUCUAACUGCAUUAUCCUACUUCAAUAGCAUCAUCAAUGGAAUAUGAAACUUAUCUUAAUGCAUUUUAAAAGUAUCCCUAUGUUCUUUUAGGUACGGUUAAUUUACUCUUGAAAUGCAGUUCCUAUGAAAUACCCAGGCUAUUUAUAAAUUCCUAUACAAUGAAUAACUUGUAGCUAAAAUGAAAUAUUUUAGGUGGAGUUUUUAUAGCUUUUAAGUAGUGGCUUGGUUUCUAUUUUUCCAACUUAAACUUGGAUGUGCAUAAGAAAUUAAGAGAGAAGAUAUAAAUAUAUGUAAAUAGAAGAUCUUAGUUACAUAAGGGGAAUCAAUCUGUCCAUCUACAGUAGUAAUAUGGGUCUUUAUCUUAAACAUUGUUACUGAGUUUAACGAAGUCUCAGUUACUGUUAAAGUUAUUUUCCCGAAAAUAACAGAAAGAAGUAUAGAAAUAGGUACAGUCCAGCUGUCUUUUAUCUCUCUGUUCUCUGUAAUGAUAAACAUUUACAGUUUUUUCUUCUAACAGAAAUAUCUCAAAACAAAAUCUGGAGACAAUAACAAAGAGGAACAAUAAUAAAGGUAAAGAAUCCUUUGGGUAUUAUAAAAACCAAUAAUCUUUGCCUUUUUAAAGUUUUGCGUGUUUCUUUAAGAAGGCAUCCGAUUGCAGAGGCAUUGUGUUACCCA